This 172-nucleotide small nucleolar RNA is filed under the name Suricata suricatta (meerkat). Its description in RNAcentral is "Small nucleolar RNA U3 (ENSSSUG00005001221.1)". It matches the Rfam family "Small nucleolar RNA U3". Rfam says of the family: Small nucleolar RNAs (snoRNAs) are involved in the processing and modification of rRNA in the nucleolus. Lineage: Eukaryota; Metazoa; Chordata; Mammalia; Carnivora; Herpestidae. The record is from Rfam by way of RNAcentral.
AAGACUAUACUUUCAGGGAUCAUUUCUAUAGUUCGUUAAGAGAGAAAUUUGAAGCAUAAGAGGAAUCCAGCAUAAGGAAGAUUUUAUGUUUCUGACUUUGAAGAAGGAGAAGGUCGUAUGGCCAGAGGUGGCUCGUAUACACAGUAAAGACUGAGAAACAUUGAUUUACAGA